GGUAGAGUGGCCGAGGAGCAGGCGGCGAGUUGUAGCCUCGUUAACAGAGGUGAAAGUCCUCUUACUAUCA
This 70-nucleotide transfer RNA is filed under the name Matoatoa brevipes. Its description in RNAcentral is "tRNA-Tyr". It matches the Rfam family "tRNA". Rfam says of the family: Transfer RNA (tRNA) molecules are approximately 80 nucleotides in length. The record is from RNAcentral. Lineage: Eukaryota; Metazoa; Chordata; Lepidosauria; Squamata; Gekkonidae.